AUCCAACUGACGAAUCCCAAAUAGGACGAAACGUGCGUCCUGGAU
This is a non-coding RNA of Schistosoma mansoni, 45 nucleotides long. NCBI's taxonomy places the organism in Eukaryota, Metazoa, Platyhelminthes, Trematoda, Strigeidida, Schistosomatidae. The record is from Rfam.